This 2015-nucleotide long non-coding RNA is filed under the name Homo sapiens (human). RNAcentral describes it as "HSALNT0376326". The record is from RNAcentral. Lineage: Eukaryota; Metazoa; Chordata; Mammalia; Primates; Hominidae.
CUCCGUCUCAAAUAAAUAAUAAAUAAAUAAAUACUUAAUAACAAUAAAGAAGAAUUCGUCCAUUCAACAACCGUUCACUGAGCGCAUAGCCUGUGCCCAGACACUGUUCCAGGCCUCUGGGAGCAAAAAGGCCUCGGUGCCCGUAUUCUAGUUAGACAACGAGAAGCGCGGGGAGGUGGGGGGCGGGGGUGGGAGAGAGAAAAUCUACACCGGGCUGCAUAGGUAAAUUCGUAGGUUAGGUGCUAAGUGCUUUGAAAAAGCAAACAAACACAGGGAAAGUGAGAUAAGGAGUUGCGGCAAGGGGCAGGUGGCUGUGUUAAAUCGAGUGGUUGGAAGAAGCUGCUAUGAGAAGGUACCGUAUGAGCAAAGGACUUGAAGCAGGUGAAGGGAGUUGGUCACGGGGCAUCCCCAGCACAAACAUCAGCUACAGCAAAGGCCCAGGAUCAACACACCCAGCUAAAACAGCUCAACUUCCUCAUCACACAACACAGUUCUGGCCAGUUAGACACACGUCCCCGGAAAGGGCAUCUCCAGGAGAAUAAAAAGGCCAAGCCACUUUUUGAAGAAAGUCUUUGUCCCUACCCCCUUUUUCUACCUGGAAGUCAGACUCAGGCCUGGAGUGUAGCGGCCGCCUUGGUACCUGGAAGCAACAAUCAUGGCCGGGAGACCUUACACCUGGCAUGGUAGAGCAGACGGAGGAGGGGCCGCCUGGUGAAUAGCCUGGCCAACAGCCCCAAACUGCUACCCCUUAAAUUCUGGAUUUCAGGUGACUGCUGUAACUUGAAGCAAGAAAAGUGAAACUACAGAAAAGGGAGGACCACUGGACGGCUGCUUUCAUUCUACGCCCACUUUUUAGAGUGCAUUCCUACAAUAAGCACCCUAAUAAUGUAAACCAGGGGCCAAGGGAUGCACCUUCCACUCUACUUCCUUCCCCAGAAAAGACCACCUUGGUAAAUACAGAAUGGCAAACGGUUAAGUGAAACACUGUAUAGCUUCUGGCCCUAUACUUAGUAUUUCUUAACAUUUACACAGCAUUUUCACAUUUCCAAAGCAGAGUACCAACAUUUAUUAAUCCUCACAACACCCCUGUGAGGUAGGUCAGUAUGUCCUUUAGAGUCGAGAACUGAGGCAGAGGUCAAGCAAACCUGCCCUGGGCCACAGAGCAGCAGAUGAAGGGCCUAGACCUGGAUCCAGAAGCUAGGGCUCUCGGUCCAGCAUUCAUCCACUGGUGGACAUCACAUGGGCUUAUUUUUACCAGCGAAGGUUACGUGAAGGACAAAACGCACUCAGCCAGCAACGGAAACUCAACAGUUCAAACAGCACUGGGGAACAUGUCAGUUAAAGAGACGAAACGCUGACCAGCUCAUGAAUGAGGCAAGACAACAUGCGGCUGAGGAAGUGUGGAAUCAUCACGACUGGGGAUUAGACCAAGAACGGGCGCUCAGGAGGGUUCAGGAAAAUGUAAACAAACUAGGAACCCAUCCAAGGGGUGACAGGCCCAAAUGCCUACGGUCUCCAAAUGGUAGAAAAAUUAGAAAAAGAUAGUGGAAAAAUCCAACCACGCAACCUUAACUUUAAACUAGGAAUGACAAUAAUGUGUCUAAUGUUCAUUCACACUAGAAAGGCCGAUAAUGUUUGUAAUAUAACUACUGGCGAUAGUAUCCUAUUUGUAUGCCAACUUUCAUCUCAAGUAUUCUGCUUUUCUUUCCCCACAGACAAACAAGUGUUGUUCUUUACAGCAGACCUCUUUCCCUCUACAUACCAAUCUAUCCACUCGCAUAACUACUAAGUGGCUCAAUGGCCUAUGUCUCAUGCUUAAUUGGCUGAGCUAGGCGCGGAAUCCGGGAAACCACAACAGACUGUACUCUGCUCCUGUAUUUCAGGAAUAACUGUCACUAACCUGCCUCUGUCCGAUUCCACCUUCUAUGAAGUACACACAGAGGAGCAGUUCAUUCUUUUGUAAAGGGAUUGGUGGACUUUGUUCGAGAUGCCAUUUCAAAAGAAAUGAGAAAAAA